RNAcentral lists this ribosomal RNA (333 nucleotides) under uncultured Anaerolineaceae bacterium. RNAcentral's name for it is "bacterial SSU rRNA". It matches the Rfam family "Bacterial small subunit ribosomal RNA", at positions 1034 to 1382 of the family's 1533-position model. Lineage: Bacteria; Bacillati; Chloroflexota; Anaerolineae; Anaerolineales; Anaerolineaceae. The record is from RNAcentral.
ACAGGUGUUGCAUGGCUGUCGUCAGCUCGUGUCGUGAGAUGUUCGGUUAAGUCCGCUAACGAGCGCAACCCUCGUGUAUGUUAUAUGUGUCAUACGAGACUGCCGGUAAAAAGCCGGAGGAAGGUGAGGAUGAUGUCAAGUCAGCAUGACCUUUAUAUCCAGGGCUACACACACGCUACAAUGGUCUGUACAAUGGGUAGCCAAGCCGCGAGGCGGAGCCAAUCCUGAAAGCAGGCCUCAGUUCAGAUUGCAGUCUGCAACUCGACUGCAUGAAGCCGGAGUUGCUAGUAACCGCAGGUCAGCAAUACUGCGGUGAAUACGUUCCCGGGUCUU